UACGUAGGGGGCGAGCGUUGUCCGGAAUUACUGGGCGUAAAGGGUGCGUAGGCGGUUGCUUAAGUCAGGUGUGAAAUCCCCGGGCUCAACCUGGGUAUUGCAUUUGAAACUGGGCGGCUAGAGUGCAGGAGAGGGAAGCGGAAUUCCUAGUGUAGCGGUGAAAUGCGUAGAUAUUAGGAGGAACACCGGUGGCGAAGGCGGCUUUCUGGACUGCAACUGACGCUGAGGCACGAAAGCGUGGGGAGCAAACAGG
RNAcentral lists this ribosomal RNA (253 nucleotides) under uncultured microorganism. RNAcentral describes it as "partial small subunit ribosomal RNA". It matches the Rfam family "Bacterial small subunit ribosomal RNA", at positions 524 to 776 of the family's 1533-position model. The record is from RNAcentral.